Peromyscus leucopus (white-footed mouse) is the source of this 448-nucleotide long non-coding RNA. RefSeq lists it as uncharacterized. The record is from RefSeq and is a predicted model, not a curated record. The transcript is spliced from 2 exons. Lineage: Eukaryota; Metazoa; Chordata; Mammalia; Rodentia; Cricetidae.
UUGGCGGCCUCUGCGCCUGCGCAGUCAGAAGGCGGAGGCCUGGGCUAGUUUAGGGCUUUCGGCGGCGGGUAGCAGGGGCGUCUGGAGAAGGGAAGGGAAAUGCGGUAGAGCAGGGCGCGCCUGGGUCCCCGACCCAGCCCCGAGUGAGCCCGAGGUAUUUUCCUUAUAUGAUCAGGCCUCACGCGGCCGGCACUGCUGGUCUGGAGCCUGAGAGGAUUAUGAAAACGUGGCAGGGUUUCCUGCUGUUCUGGAACUCGCCCAGUAGACCAGGCUAGCCUCGAACUAUGAGAUCUGCCUAAAUGCUGGCAUUAAAGGCACACUCCUCCACGCACGGCUUUAACCUAAUCAUUUCUCGUGAAAACUUACAGGAAUACUGAAAUGUGGAAAGGUUCGUGCAGGGAACCUACUGUUUGCUAUUUUACGUCUACCCAUUAAAACCUUAUUUUUU